Molecule: long non-coding RNA, 5394 nt
Filed under: Sorghum bicolor (sorghum)
Lineage: Eukaryota; Viridiplantae; Streptophyta; Magnoliopsida; Poales; Poaceae
Description: long non-coding RNA (SBIC_LNC013396)
Source: RNAcentral
CGCGACCGUGCGCGCCUGCUCCCUCGCGCCCGCCUACCGGUGUCGCCCCUGGCCGCGCGGCCUCGCUGCCUCGCCACAGCGGGUCGACGGCGCACCACCGCCUGCCGGCGGCAGCCCGGCUCCCUCGACGAGCCAGCCCAGGGCGGCGCCCGCGACCGUGCGCGCCUGCUCCCUCGCGCCCGCCUACCGGUGUCGCCCCUGGCCGCGCGGCCUCGCUGCCUCGCCACCACGGGUCGACGGCGCACCCCCGCCCGCCGGCGGCAGCCCGGCUCCCUCGACGAGCAGCCCAGCGGCGUCUCCAAGCAGUCCCCAGCACGCCGCGCUUCGUUGGCCGCGUGAAUACCGCGAGCAGCGAUCCAAUCACCAAGUGCUAAGGUUUGCCCGGAUCUCUCGAUUGAGCCUAGACUCCUCUCCCCCCAAAUCGAUUUUGUUGUUCCCUAAUCCGCCCAAAUCGAUUCCUAAGAGGAACGAGUGCGGACGAGCUGCAUACUUGCUGGAUCGGCCUCAGCACUGCAUCAGAGAAAGGGGGAUCGAUCUGUGCCAGUGCCAGCUGCAUACUUGUUUUGGUUCUGACUUUGAUUUAUUAAUCAAAAUGAGGUAGCUUGUAGUGAUAUGGUCCUGCGGCAUUAUGUAAGUUCAGAUUAAGAUAGGUUAUUAUCGUUGGUGGCUUCUGCAGACUGAAAUUGUAUGAUUGCAGUUUUGUUCAAUUUCAGAAAAUAGAAGUUCUGAAAAUAGCACGUUUGUGGUUCUUCAAUUCAGAAAUUAUCUAAUUUGUAGGUGUAGUUAUUCGUGCAAUUUCUGACAAUAGACUGAAAUUGGAUUUUAUUUGCUUUAUACCCGCAACUGCAAAUUUUCUUGGUCAUGGUCGAACACUCACUGACCUUUUGGGAAAUAUGUAGUUUGCAGGAAGAAGCUAGAUCAGUUGGCCUUCUCCGAAGUAAAAGAUUGGCAAAUUUUCUUGGUUGUUGCUGCGGGUGUACCGGCACCGCGUCGCCUCACCACUGCACCGACCCACCACGGCCCCGCUAGCCUGACUCCACCACCACCUAAGGUGAAACCUCUCUCUUCGUAUCAUGUUUGUAGUUCACGUAACCUAACUAGGUGUUUCCCAUUCGAAAGAGAUACGAUUAUUAAUAUGCAUAUCUAUGCAUAUCUAUAACCGUAUAUGUUUCGAAUUGUCCAUGUUUCUUUGGACAGCUCGAGGAUGCGUAGAUGGGGUUAGUUUCCAUAGUCUGCUCUAAUCCGAGGUAGAGUUUUGGCAUCAUCUCCCUGUUGUUCUCCGGAUACACAAUCUCCCUACCGGGACGUGUAUUUGGAGAACAGCGGGGAGGUGCUGCCGAAAUUGUGUCUCGGAUCAGAGUAGACUAUGGAAACUAACUCCAUCUACGCAUCUUCAGGUGGGAUUAGGACCUAUCCUAACCUAUUAGAUGGUAGUAACAUCGUGUAGAUGCAAUUGGUGGUUAUAUUACUCUAUGAUAUAUAUAUGUCAGAGAAUGGAUGACCGUGAGUGGAUGUACACGGGCCGCUCAAGUCCAACUGAUUUCUCUUUAGAAUGGAUUGAGAAGAUCGAUGCUUUCUUGGAACUAGCAUUUGACAAGGCUAAAGGAGCUCGUGCCACUUGGUGUCCCUGCAGCAGAUGUGCAAACAUAAAACGACAAACAAAGGUGGACAUGGGUAAACAUCUCUGCAAGUAUGGAUUUACGGCAAACUAUACCCGAUGGAUCUACCAUGGUGAAGCCGAUCGUAUGAGAGACGAGGUUGUGAGACAACGCCUCGAGCAGUAUGAUGCUGAUGGCGGGGUAGGAGGCAUGGUAAAUGAUUGGCAUGAAGCACACUUCGCUGAAGGAUGUAGGGAGGAGGAGCCAGAGGCAACCGCAAAGGCGUAUUAUGACAUGUUGUCUGCGGCACAGAAACCCCUUCAUAGCCAGACAAAUGUUUCUCAGCUGGAUGGCAUUGGACGUGUAAUGGCCUUGAAGUCCCAGUGUAAUAUGAGUCGAGAUGCCUUUGAUGCUAUGUUGACAGUUUUUGGCAGCAUGCUUCCGGAAGGUCAUAUUCUGCCAAAGAGCAUGUACGAGUCCCAGAAAGUCCUUCGUGCACUUAAGAUGCCAUAUGAGCAGAUACAUGCUUGUCCUAAGGGGUGCAUCUUAUUUAGGAAAGAACACGCGGAAGCAAAGUAUUGUUCAAAGUGUGGAUCCUCUAGGUUUCUGGAGGUAGACUCUGGUGAUGGUCAGAAGAGACAGCUUACGAUCCCCGUGAAAAUCCUACGGUACCUUCCGUUCAUACCGAGGAUUCAACGGCUAUACAUGACUGAGGAAACUGCAAAACAGAUGACAUGGCACAAAAAUGGUCUUCGAUAUAAUCCUGAAAAGAUGGUACAUCCAUCCGAUGGUGAAGCAUGGACCCACUUUGAUGGGAUUCAUCAUGAGAAAGCUCAAGAGGCCCGUAAUGUUCGUGUUGCUCUGGCAACAGAUGGGUUCAAUCCGUAUAGAAUGAUGGCGGCCCCAUACACUUGUUGGCCGGUGUUUGUUAUCCCUCUCAAUCUUCCCCCUGGCGUCGUCUUUCAACGACAAAACAUAUUCUUGUCGUUGAUAAUUCCUGAACACCCGGGGAACAAUAUGGGUGUGUUCAUGGAGCCUGUGAUUGAUGAAUUGGUCUGUGCUUGGGAGGAAGGGGUUUGGACAUAUGACCGAGCUACAAAGAGAAACUUCAAAAUGCAUGUUUGGUAUCAUUACUCCCUACAUGACUUUCUAGCGUAUGGGAUAUUCUGUGGCUGGUGUGUUCACGGGAAGUUCCCAUGCCCAGUAUGCAAGACAACUCUGCAGUUCUUUUGGUUGAGGAAGGGUGGCAAGUUUUCCUCAUUCGAUAAACAUCGACAAUUCCUCCCUCUUGACCAUGCAUUCAGACGAGACAUCAAGAACUUUACCAAAGGUGUCAUAGUUACAGACCCUGCACCACCGAUGUUGACCGGUGCUGCGGUCCGUGCUCAGGUAGAUGCUCUCGAGGUAAAUAACCAAGAACGUGGUUUUGUGGGAUAUGGGGAGCAACAUGCAUGGACUCAUAAGUCGGGCUUGUUGAGGCUCCCCUAUUUUUUUGACCUUCUUCUCCCACAUAACAUUGAUGUAAUGCACACAGAAAAGAAUGUUGCCGAGGCACUUUGGGCAACAAUCAUGGACAUUCCUGAUAAGACAAAGGACAAUGUUAAGGCUAGAGUGGAUUUGGCAACAUUAUGCGAUAGACCAAAGCAAGAAAUGCAGCCUCCUAGAGGCGGCAAGACAUGGAGAAAGCCUAAGGCCGAUUUCGUCUUGACAAGGAAACAAAGGAGGGAAGUACUAGAGUGGUUCCAAACAUUAAUGUUCCCUGAUGGGUAUACGGCGAAUCUAAGGAGGGGAGUGAACUUAUCUACUAUGCGAAUCAAUGGGCUCAAAAGUCAUGACUACCAUAUAUGGAUUGAGCGGCUUCUUCCGGUGAUGGUUCGAGGCUAUGUCCCUGAGCAUGUUUGGCUAGUGCUGGCAGAGUUAAGCAAUUUCUUUCGCCAGCUUUGUGCCAAGGAGUUACCUCGAUCCGUGAUUGCAGACUUGGAAAGAAUGGCACCUGUGUUGCUCUGCAAGUUGGAGAAGAUCUUUCCACCUGGCUUCUUCAAUCCGAUGCAACAUUUGAUUUUGCAUCUCCCGUAUGAGGCACGAAUGGGGGGGCCCGUGCAGGGCCGUUGGUGUUAUCCAAUUGAGAGAUGUCUAAAGGUUCAUCGAACUAAAUGUAAAAAUAAAUGCAAAAUAGAGGCUUCCAUUGCAGAGGCAUACAUUCUGGAGGAGGUGUCAAACUUCACAACAGCAUACUAUGGUGACAACCUUCCUAGUGUGCACAAUCCGCCCCCUCGCUACAAUGCUGAUGAAAAUGAAUCGACUCUUAGCCUUUUUCAAGGUCAACUCGGAAGUGCAAGUAAUGCGACCCCUAAGACCUUGAAAUAUGAGGAGUGGCGCAUUAUCAUGCUAUAUGUGUUGCUCAACCUUUCAGAAGUGGACCCAUACAUUCGGUAAGUUGUCAACAAACUUGUUCUUAGGUAGUCACUAUUCCCCAUCCAACCCCCUUGUUUCCUCGUUGGUGCAGGGAAUUUCAUCAACAAUUCUGGCGUAGAUCAAGGGAACCUACCUUGCAAGAAUCUGAGACCCUUCUUAGGCAGGGUGCGGGAAAUGGUCGGCCUGAUUUCAUUUCUUGGUUUAAACAAAAGGUAUAUACUACUCGACUCUUAGUUUGUCAUUACAAGUUGCUCGUACGUGCAAAUCAUAUAACAAACUAUCCUGCUUGAGCUUGCAGGGCCAAACCGAUGCGUCUAUGAGUGCCGAGUUGAGACAGGUUGCCGAUGGCUGUGCCUAUAGGGUGAGGUCAUUUACUAGUUAUGACGUCAAUGGAUACCGCUUUCACACAACUAGACACGAGCAGAGUCGGCCCAAUCGAAGAACCACAAAUACUGGAGUUUGUACGACUGGCAAUGAUGGGGUUGAGUAUUAUGGAAGAAUUGAAGAAAUAUAUGAACUCAACUUUGGUGGCUGUAUACCUCUUAAUCCUGUCAUAUUCAAAUGCCACUGGUUUGAUCCUGAAGUAACAAGACGGACCCCUAAUCUUGGGCUAGUUGAAAUUCGACAGUCAUCAGUCUUACCAGGAGAUGAUGUCUAUAUUGUGGCUCAACAGGCCACACAAGUCUAUUAUGUACCAUACCCGUGCAAAACCGCUGACCAUCUUAAGGGUUGGGAUGUUGUGUACAAGGUAUCACCACAUGGUAAACUACCUGUCCCAAACAAUGAAGAUUACCACUUUGACACAAAUACAUAUGACGGAGAGUUCUUUCAAGAAGAGGGGCUAGAAGGGAGUUUUGUGAUAGACUUAACCGAAGUGGUCGGAAUGGAAGUAGACAAUGAAAGGGUUGAUCAAGAGGAUGCUUUUGAUGACGUUCAAAAUGUGAAGGACUUAGAAUUACUUGAGCGAUUACAUUUAGGCAAUGACAAUGAUAACAACCUUCCUCCUUCAGAUAGUGGUGACUAUAUUGACAUGGCUGAUAGUGAUGAUGAGACUUAUGAUCCAGCUAAUCCCGAUCAUGAUGAUUAUUUCUAAUACAUGUAAUACUAUGCCAUUUUGUAAUUAUGUUUUGUUUAUUUUGCAUCUCUUUCUAAGUAUGUCUUGUUUAUCUGUGCUUAUUGGUUUACUCUUUUUAGUUACAGGUUAUUGAACAAGAUGGUGGGUGGUAUGAGGAAAGUCAGGUCGGUGUACCAGAGACCGCCUGCAGCAACUGAGCAGUCGGGGAGCAGGAGGAGGAGUAGCGGGACGAGGAGGAGCAGGAGUUUGAGCACCCUUGAGCGGGAGCGGGAGCGGGAGGAGGAGCGGCAGCGGCAGCGACUGAGG